This 402-nucleotide ribosomal RNA is filed under the name uncultured bacterium. RNAcentral describes it as "bacterial SSU rRNA". It matches the Rfam family "Bacterial small subunit ribosomal RNA", at positions 355 to 773 of the family's 1533-position model. The record is from RNAcentral.
UAAGGAAUCUUCCACAAUGGACGAAAGUCUGAUGGAGCAACGCCGCGUGCAGGAAGACGGCUUUCGGGUUGUAAACUGCUUUUAUUUGGGAAGAUUAUGACUGUACCAAAUGAAUAAGGACCGGCUAACUACGUGCCAGCAGCCGCGGUAAUACGUAGGGUCCAAGCGUUAUCCGGAAUUCCUGGGCGUAAAGCGUACGUAGGCGGCGCGUUAAGUGAUAUGCGAAAUCCAGCGGCUCAACCGUUUGGACUGUAUAUCAUACUGACGUGCUAGAGGAUGGCAGAGGCAAGUGGAAUUGGUAGUGUAGCAGUGAAAUGCGUAGAUAUUACCAGGAACACCAAUGGCGAAGGCAGCUUGCUGGGCCAUUUCUGACGCUGAGGUACGAAAGCGUGGGGAGCGAAC